Molecule: long non-coding RNA, 1013 nt
Organism: Anthonomus grandis grandis
Lineage: Eukaryota; Metazoa; Arthropoda; Insecta; Coleoptera; Curculionidae
Exons: 4
Source: RefSeq, a predicted model, not a curated record
AGAUAAAAAUCUAUCAUAAUAAAAUUUAACAUAUAAAAAGCGUAAGAUAAAAACCUCGCAUUUGAGUAAACUUGUGCUUUACUUAUGCAGACAAAAGGCAUGAAGCAGCCAGCUUAGUAAACUUUUUACCAGUCUCCAGUCCUAGAAGUAUUUAAAUGAAGCCUUGGAGUAAUGAGUCAUAGAUAAUUAUAUGGAAUAGCUAUAAUGACUCUAACUGGGUAGCCUAAGACAUAGUUAUUGAUUUCUCGGGACCCAGUCUCAGUUGAAAAACAAAUAGCACUUUGUUUAUUUAUAUUAUACCUGCACAUACCAAAAAAUUACAAAAUUACCCAUGUUAGGGGGAGCCAUUGAUGGUACUCAUAUUUUUAUAAAACCCCCAAGAGAUGGCUAUAAGGAUUUUAUAAAUAGAAAGGGAUGGGCAUCAUAUAAUGAACAAGCAGUAGUUAACCAUAGAAGCAUCUAAAUGUUUUUGUAUUAAGUAAUUGCAUUCUAAAUGUUUUGGCCCAGUAUUCAGGCUCAGCUCAUGAUGUCACUAUUUUAAAAGCCUUAAACUUAUACAAACACCAUAAAAAAGUUUUGCCUCAGGAAAAAAAUAUUGAAUAACAUACAGAUUAAAUAUAUGAUAAUGGGAGAUCCAGCCUACCCUAUUCCUGACUGGAUUCUUAAACGAUAUUCAGGAACGUUCAGUAGAGAGGAAGAAUGCUUUGAUGUUUACCUAAAUUCUUGCAGAGUAGCUGUGGAGUAGGCAUUUAAAAGAUUAAAAGCCAAAUUCAGGAUUCUACAAAAAAGAAUUGAUACCAACGAUAAAUUUGUACCAAAGAUAAUAAUUUUUUUUUUCUCAAUCUGUUUUGUUAUGAUUAAUUUUGGUAAUGUGUGUAAAUUUUAUGGUAAAGUGUUUUAGAUGCUAUGUUUGUUUGAAAUUUGAAAUUUAAAGUGAAUUUGGAAUUUUUUAGUUUUUAGGAUGCUUGUACACAAGAUUUUGUUGUAUUACGUAAUAUAGCACAUUUUCUUUC